GUAGUUAAUGGUGGGAUUACCAUUAUCCUUUUUGGAGUGACGAAUCUUGCCUAAGAAAAGGAAUUUGUCCAUUUUUCGGGGGCGUGGAAACACAUAAGAACUCUUGAAUAGGAAAGAUGGGAAAAGGGACGAUGAGAUUGCUUACUCAGCUAUCAGGGAGUCAAAUGGACGAAGCGGGAGUGACUCUCUUUCUCUUUCUUCCCUUACUAUCCGAAUUAGCUCUUC
This 225-nucleotide long non-coding RNA is filed under the name Coffea arabica (coffee). RNAcentral describes it as "long non-coding RNA (CARA_LNC001567)". Lineage: Eukaryota; Viridiplantae; Streptophyta; Magnoliopsida; Gentianales; Rubiaceae. The record is from RNAcentral.